CUAUGCGCCUUGCCAGCCCGCUCAGUCAGAGUUUGAUCCUGGCUCAGAUUGAACGCUGGCGGCAUGCCUUACACAUGCAAGUCGAACGGCAGCGCGGGAGCAAUCCUGGCGGCGAGUGGCGAACGGGUGAGUAAUAUAUCGGAACGUGCCCAGUAGUGGGGGAUAGCCCGGCGAAAGCCGGAUUAAUACCGCAUACGACCUGAGGGUGAAAGCGGGGGAUCGCAAGACCUCGCGCUACUGGAGCGGCCGAUAUCAGAUUAGCUAGUUGGUGGGGUAAAGGCCUACCAAGGCAACGAUCUGUAGUUGGUCUGAGAGGACGACCAGCCACACUGGGACUGAGACACGGCCCAG
This 351-nucleotide ribosomal RNA is filed under the name uncultured bacterium. RNAcentral's name for it is "bacterial SSU rRNA". It matches the Rfam family "Bacterial small subunit ribosomal RNA", at positions 1 to 334 of the family's 1533-position model. The record is from RNAcentral.